This 262-nucleotide long non-coding RNA is filed under the name Lathyrus oleraceus (garden pea). RNAcentral describes it as "Pisum sativum (pea) long non-coding RNA (PSAT_LNC010590)". Lineage: Eukaryota; Viridiplantae; Streptophyta; Magnoliopsida; Fabales; Fabaceae. The record is from RNAcentral.
UUCAAUCCACCGAGAUGCUCAUUUUUGCCUAAGCUGCCCUUUCGGGUUUUCAACUUAGCGAGCCAUUCUAUUUUUAUUUCUAGGCGAAGUAUUUCUUGACUGCAUCUGAAUUCACAGAACGAGUGAAAUCCUCUCCAUCCAUAGUUGUAAGUAUCAAAGCACCGCCUGAAAAGGCUCUCUUAACAACAUAUGGGACUUCGUAGUUUGGAGUCCACUUGCCCCUGGAAUCGGGCGCGAAAGACAAGACUUUCUUGAGCACAAG